Molecule: long non-coding RNA, 2091 nt
Organism: Daucus carota subsp. sativus
Lineage: Eukaryota; Viridiplantae; Streptophyta; Magnoliopsida; Apiales; Apiaceae
Exons: 9
Source: RefSeq, a predicted model, not a curated record
AGAUUCUGUGAUUUCCUAGCUUUUUACAAAAUCCUACGCUCAAUUUUCUCAUCCUUCAGCUUAGAUUUCUAGACUUUAAUCUUUAUAUUUAUAUAAAGGAGGUUCUUCCAAAGCUUACGUGGCAUGUCUCAAACUCCUCUAAUCAGAUUCUGUUAUUUCCUAGCUUUUUACAAAAUCCUACGCUCAAUUUUCUCAUCCUUCAGCUUAGAUUUCUAGACUUUAAUAUUAAUAUUAAUAAAUAAAUCCUUUUCUCAAAGCUGAGAAACGUAAAGGGCUAAUGAAAGGGUAAAUGUCUCUUUACUAUCCCUGGUUUAAUUUCGCCUCUUUUAGUAAUCAUAUAUAACUAGCUACAAUUACUGCGAGCAAGUUCUCAAAUGAUGCUGAUCAGGCCACCCAAUAGCACCAUGAUGCUCUUGCACCAAUCGAAGGUCGUCCUGCCAUUUCCGGGCGCCUGAAAUAUAGUACCCUCGCCUGCCGAAGGAGGCUGAUAGAGACAACAGAAAUAGAAAGCGCUCUUCUCUCUGCAGCCGCUCUCUCUUCGUUUUUUCAAGUUGGAAUGAAUGAAAGAAGGGAGACAGAGGACCGAUGAUCUAUUAAUGACACAAAAAACUUGUGUAAAUAUAUUUACUCUCCUUCUUCCAUGGUUUGCUCCCGCUUCAAAAACAGAUCCAAUUGAGGAGGAUAAAAAGAUAGCUAGAGCACUAAGGUUUUUGAAGACUUCAGCAUUCGUGUUGCACCAUGAUAAAGAAAUUUAGCCUGUAGGUCAUUGCCAACUGUGUUGUUGUAGUAGGAAGACGGAAUCUUAAAGAAUACAAUUAUUUCGAUCAAGACAGUUGGAGACCCCUAAAUAGCCAACUUCGUAUUUUGUCGGUAAAGAUUUUUUCCUGUUGACUUCCCCAACAGCUUAACUUUACAAUAUAAAUUACUGGAAGUUGUGUGGCCCUCCAUUCUGUGCGACGUAGCAUAAGAUAUAGGAUACUGAAAAGGAAAUCUGUCAAUGAUGAGCAAAUAAGUGCGAAUAAGACUGCAGUAUAGAAUAAAGAGUGGGACUCAAGCUAAAAAUGCAGCUGACAAGAUUUCUUUCAAUGUGGCUAAGCCAGACUCGAAAUAAGCUUUUUCCGCUCUUUUUGACACAUAUACCAGGACGACUUGAUGCAAUUUAUGAGAGACGACGAAGCAUUGAUGAUAAUAAGUCACUUCAAAGGAGCAAGUGGACGGAAAGGAAUUAGCAUGAAACAACUGAACAAUUGGAUGAUAAUAUAUCGAUUCGUAUGGACUGCAAAGACAAUUAUUAUUUUAGUGUAUAUACAUUCAAGGAGCGAAGAGUCUUGGUAUCGUCCUUGAUUGAUACGAAAGAAACUGUCAAUAAAUUCUACAAAAUAUUUAACAUCCUUGUAAGCCUAAUUAUAUUCAUUAUCUGCUGUCUUAUAAUAAAAGUCUCCGGCAUCCAGUUCUUUGUCCUUCUGAGCUCCCAGUUUCUUUUGUGUUUGGAAGCACAUGCAAGAGGAUGUUCGAAGGGAUCAUCUUAUUAUUUGUAGUGCACCCAUUGGUGAUCGAUGCGAAGUUAAUGAUGUUCAGGUUCUUAAAGAGAAAUAGAAUAUAUCUGCAUGCAUUUGGUUGUGGAAGAGAUGAGUAUGUUGACUACAACUUUUCUGACAGUUGGUAUCAUACAUCAUACUGUGAAAGAGCUUUUGAAACAUCAAUAUAUCGGAAGCGCUAGAAAGAGUCAAGUACUUUCAGGAGAAUCAGGUGCACUAGGCUCUUUUUUUGGAGUAGUUGUGAUCUUAGUUGUUUUGCUGUCAGUUUGGUGUAGUAGGGAAGUGGUGUUAGGAAUGGCCAUGGAUAUUAGAUGGGAAUUCUCGAAGCGUGGUUUCAAGUCUGGGAAAUCUCAAACACCCUGCGGUUGCUCUUCUUUGUUUUUGCUCAAGUGGAGUUGCACUUUCUUUGUUUUGAAUGUGAUUCAGAUUUUGUGUAGUUGCUUUUUUCUGGAGCUUGGUUUUAAAAGAGGUUUUUGGUUUGUAAUUAUUUGAGGGGUGCCCACUCUGAUAUUUAUGUAUUAUAUGUUUUCCUUCUUUUUAAAAUUAUUCGAGG